UAGUCCACGCCGUAAACGAUGCUAACUCGAUAUUUGGAUCUUGAAUCUGAGUGUCUAAGCGAAAGCGAUAAGUUAGCCACCUGGGGAGUACGUUCGCAAGAAUGAAACUCAAAGGAAUUGACGGGGGCUCACACAAGCGGUGGAGGAUGUGGCUUAAUUCGAGGCAACGCGAAGAACCUUAUCCUGGAUUUGACAUGCAUGAAUGGCUCGCCUGAAAGGGAUGAGUCUGCCUUCGGGUGAAAUGUGCACAGGUGCUGCAUGGCUGUCGUCAGCUCGUGUCGUGAGACGUCGCGUUAAGUCGCUUAACGAGCGCAACCCUUGUCUUUAGUUGCCAGCACGUAAUGGGUGGGGACUCUAGAGAGACUGCCAGUGUCAAACCGGGAGGAAGGUGGGGGAC
This 397-nucleotide ribosomal RNA is filed under the name uncultured bacterium. RNAcentral's name for it is "bacterial SSU rRNA". It matches the Rfam family "Bacterial small subunit ribosomal RNA", at positions 791 to 1183 of the family's 1533-position model. The record is from RNAcentral.